GUCGAACGAGUUCUGAUUAUUGAAAGGUGCUUGCAUCUUGAUUUAAUUUUGAACGAGUGGCGGACGGGUGAGUAACACGUGGGUAACCUGCCCUUAAGUGGGGGAUAACAUUUGGAAACAGAUGCUAAUACCGCAUAAAUCCAAGAACCGCAUGGUUCUUGGCUGAAAGAUGGCGUAAGCUAUCGCUUUUGGAUGGACCCGCGGCGUAUUAGCUAGUUGGUGAGGUAACGGCUCACCAAGGCAAUGAUACGUAGCCGAACUGAGAGGUUGAUCGGCCACAUUGGGACUGAGACACGGCCCAAACUCCUACGGGAGGCAGCAGUAGGGAAUCUUCCACAAUGGACGCAAGUCUGAUGGAGCAACGCCGCGUGAGUGAAGAAGGCUUUCGGGUCGUAAAACUCUGUUGUUGGAGAAGAAUGGUCGGCAGAGUAACUGUUGUCGGCGUGACGGUAUCCAACCAGAAAGCCACGGCUAACUACGUGCCAGCAGCCGCGGUAAUACGUAGGUGGCAAGCGUUAUCCGGAUUUAUUGGGCGUAAAGCGAGCGCAGGCGGUUUUUUAAGUCUGAUGUGAAAGCCCUCGGCUUAACCGAGGAAGUGCAUCGGAAACUGGGAAACUUGAGUGCAGAAGAGGACAGUGGAACUCCAUGUGUAGCGGUGAAAUGCGUAGAUAUAUGGAAGAACACCAGUGGCGAAGGCGGCUGUCUGGUCUGUAACUGACGCUGAGGCUCGAAAGCAUGGGUAGCGAACAGGAUUAGAUACCCUGGUAGUCCAUGCCGUAAACGAUGAAUGCUAGGUGUUGGAGGGUUUCCGCCCUUCAGUGCCGCAGCUAACGCAU
Molecule: ribosomal RNA, 836 nt
Filed under: Lacticaseibacillus rhamnosus
Lineage: Bacteria; Bacillati; Bacillota; Bacilli; Lactobacillales; Lactobacillaceae
Description: bacterial SSU rRNA
Rfam family: Bacterial small subunit ribosomal RNA
Source: RNAcentral